AGAGUUUGAUCCUGGCUCAGAAUCAACGCUGGCGGCGUGCCUAACACAUGCAAGUCGAGCGCGGUUAGUAGCAAUACUAACUGAGUGGCGAACGGGUGAGUAACACGUGGGUGACCUACCUUCGAGUGGGGGAUAACGUCCCGAAAGGGACGCUAAUACCGCAUAACAUCCUGCCUUUGAACAGGCGGUGAUCAAAGCCGGGGACCGUAAGGCCCGGCGCUUGAUGAGGGGCCCGCGUCUGAUUAGCUAGUUGGUGAGGUAAUGGCCCACCAAGGCGACGAUCAGUAUCCGGCCUGAGAGGGCGGACGGACACACUGGGACUGAGACACGGCCCAGACUCCUACGGGAGGCAGCAGUGGGGAAUUGUUCACAAUGGGCGCAAGCCUGAUGACGCAACGCCGCGUGGAGGAUGAAGGUCUUCGGAUUGUAAACUCCUGUUGCCCGGGACGAAAAGCCUCGACCUAACACGUCGAGGUCUGACGGUACCGGGUGAGGAAGCCCCGGCUAACUCUGUGCCAGCAGCCGCGGUAAUACAGAGGGGGCAAGCGUUGUUCGGAAUUACUGGGCGUAAAGGGCGCGUAGGCGGCCUUCUAAGUCGAACGUGAAAUCCCUGGGCUCAACCCAGGAACUGCGUCCGAUACUGGAAGGCUUGAAUCCGGGAGAGGGAUGCGGAAUUCCAGGUGUAGCGGUGAAAUGCGUAGAUAUCUGGAGGAACACCGGUGGCGAAGGCGGCAUCCUGGACCGGUAUUGACGCUGAGGCGCGAAAGCCAGGGGAGCAAACGGGAUUAGAUACCCCCGGU
Molecule: ribosomal RNA, 800 nt
Filed under: uncultured bacterium
Lineage: Bacteria
Description: bacterial SSU rRNA
Rfam family: Bacterial small subunit ribosomal RNA
Source: RNAcentral